UUUGUGUCUGCCGCCGCGGUAAUACGUAGGGUGCAAGCGUUAAUCGGAAUUUCUGGGCGUAAAGCGUGCGCAGGCGGUUUUGUAAGACAGAGGUGAAAUCCCCGGGCUCAACCUGGGAACUGCCUCUGUGACUGCAAGGCUGGAGUGCGGCAGAGGGGGAUGGAAUUCCGCGUGUAGCAGUGAAAUGCGUAGAUAUGCGGAGGAACACCGAUGGCGAAGGCAAUCCCCUGGGCCUGCACUGACGCUCAUGCACGAAAGCGUGGGGAGCAAACAGGAUUAGAUACCCUGGUAGUCCACGCCCUAAACGAUGUCAACUGGUUGUUGGGUCUUCACUGACUCAGUAACGAAGCUAACGCGUGAAGUUGUCCGCCUGGGGAUUACGGCCGCCAAAGAACCC
RNAcentral lists this ribosomal RNA (397 nucleotides) under uncultured Diaphorobacter sp. RNAcentral's name for it is "bacterial SSU rRNA". It matches the Rfam family "Bacterial small subunit ribosomal RNA", at positions 502 to 902 of the family's 1533-position model. The record is from RNAcentral. Lineage: Bacteria; Pseudomonadati; Pseudomonadota; Betaproteobacteria; Burkholderiales; Comamonadaceae.